AGAGUUUGAUCCUGGCUCAGGACGAACGCUGGCGGCGCGCCUAACACAUGCAAGUCGAACGAGCGGAUUCCCUUCGGGGGAGAAGCUAGUGGCGGACGGGUGAGUAACACGUGAGGAACCUGCCUUUCAGUGCGGAAUACCGUUUGGAAACGAACGUUAAUACCGCAUAAUGUAUGAUGAUCGCAUGGUCGACAUACCAAAGAUUUAUCGCUGAGAGAUGGCCUCGCGUCUGAUUAGAUAGUUGGUGAGGUAACGGCCCACCAAGUCUGCGAUCAGUAGCCGGACUGAGAGGUUGAUCGGCCACAUUGGGACUGAGACACGGCCCAGACUCCUACGGGAGGCAGCAGUGGGGGAUAUUGCACAAUGGGCGAAAGCCUGAUGCAGCGACGCCGCGUGAGGGAAGACGGUUUUCGGAUUGUAAACCUCUGUUUUCGGGGACGAAAAUGACGGUACCCGAGGAGGAAGCCACGGCUAACUACGUGCCAGCAGCCGCGGU
This 496-nucleotide ribosomal RNA is filed under the name uncultured bacterium. RNAcentral describes it as "bacterial SSU rRNA". It matches the Rfam family "Bacterial small subunit ribosomal RNA", at positions 8 to 521 of the family's 1533-position model. The record is from RNAcentral.